Molecule: ribosomal RNA, 604 nt
Filed under: uncultured bacterium
Lineage: Bacteria
Description: bacterial SSU rRNA
Rfam family: Bacterial small subunit ribosomal RNA
Source: RNAcentral
UAGUGACUUCGGUUGCUAGAGAGCGGCGCACGGGUGAGUAACGCGUACACAAUCUGCCCUACACAGAGGAAUAGCCCUGGGAAACUGGGAUUAAUGCCUCAUGGUCCUUAAUGUCCGCAUGGAUAUAAAGGUAAAGAUCCGUCGGUGUAGGAUGAGUGUGCGUACUAUUAGCUAGUUGGUGAGGUAACGGCUCACCAAGGCGAUGAUAGUUAGGGGGCGUGAGAGCGUGAUCCCCCACAUGGGUACUGAGACACGGACCCAACUCCUACGGGAGGCAGCAGUAAGGAAUAUUGGACAAUGGGCGCAAGCCUGAUCCAGCCAUCCCGCGUGCAGGAUGACGGCGCUACGCGUUGUAAACUGCUUUUGUAUAAGAUGAAACCUGGGGAUUUAUCUUCAGUUGACGUUAUUAUAAGAAUAAGCACCGGCUAACUCCGUGCCAGCAGCCGCGGUAAUACGGAGGGUGCAAGCGUUAUCCGGAAUCACUGGGUUUAAAGGGUGCGUAGGUGGACCAGUAAGUCAGAGGUGAAAGCCCGUCGCUUAACGACGGAAUAGCCUUUGAUACUGUUGGUCUUGAAUCAGGUUGAGGUAUGCGGAAUGUGGCAUG